AAAAGACAACGCUGUCACAAGGCUCGGGAAGCUCAGGAAACCAAAUCCCAACCAGACCCACAGGAAAAUACCCCUCCAUGUGCCCCCACGCGCCGAUCAGAGGUGGGAAUUUUCCGGCGAGAUAUGUUCACGCGCUGGCGUGUGAGUGGUUCUCUAGUCACUUUUUUUUGAGAAUUAUUCUUCUGUUGGGGUAGCCCACUAUUUCCGACUAGAACCCGACCAUUUUUCUCUAGAUCCGAUCACUGGAAUUAAGGUUCCGGUGAUUUUCAGGCCGUUUCCAGCAAGAUUUCGGUGAAAUCAGAAUUUUCAGGCCACUAUGGGCAAAUUCCGGCAGCUUCCAAUAUUUUUAGACUAGUGUUGCACUUCCGGCAUUUUCUGACGUACAUACCAGUCUAUGGAGAAUAGAAGAGGGAGAGAACAAUUUGUAAAACCUCAAUCCAGGUGUAGUCAUUGUCAUAACCCGGACACACUCGUGACAUAUGUUAUAUUUUGCAUGGUCCA
Molecule: unclassified non-coding RNA, 501 nt
Filed under: Hevea brasiliensis (rubber tree)
Lineage: Eukaryota; Viridiplantae; Streptophyta; Magnoliopsida; Malpighiales; Euphorbiaceae
Source: RNAcentral